This 305-nucleotide ribosomal RNA is filed under the name uncultured bacterium. Its description in RNAcentral is "bacterial SSU rRNA". It matches the Rfam family "Bacterial small subunit ribosomal RNA", at positions 334 to 638 of the family's 1533-position model. The record is from RNAcentral.
GACCUACGGGGGGCAGCAGUGAGGAAUAUUGGUCAAUGGGUGGGAGUCUGAACCAGCCAAGUCGCGUGAAGGAAGAAGGUACUUAGUAUUGUAAACCUCUUUUGCCGGGGAGCAACGGGGUCCUUGCGAGGGCCCGAUGAGAGUACCCGGAGAAAAAGCAUCGGCUAACUCCGUGCCAGCAGCCGCGGUAAUACGGAGGAUGCGAGCGUUAUCCGGAUUUAUUGGGUUUAAAGGGUGCGUAGGCGGGCUGUUAAGUCAGCGGUCAAAUGUCGGGGCUCAACCCCGGCCUGCCGUGGCAACUGGCG